GAUGAACGCUGGCGGCGUGCCUAAUACAUGCAAGUCGAGCGAACAGACGAGGAGCUUGCUCCUCUGACGUUAGCGGCGGACGGGGGAGUAACACGUGGAUAACCUACCUAUAAGACUGGGAUAACUUCGGGAAACCGGAGCUAAUACCGGAUAAUAUAUUGAACCGCAUGGUUCAAUAGUUAAAGACGGUUUUGCUGUCACUUAUAGAUUGAUCCGCGCCGCAUUAGCUAGUUGGUAAGGUAACGGCUUACCAAGGCAACGAUGCGUAGCCGACCUGAGAGGGUGAUCGGCCACACUGGAACUGAGACACGGUCCAGACUCCUACGGGAGGCAGCAGUAGGGAAUCUUCCGCAAUGGGCGAAAGCCUGACGGAGCAACGCCGCGUGAGUGAUGAAGGUCUUCGGAUCGUAAAACUCUGUUAUUAGGGAAGAACAAAUGUGUAAGUAACUAUGCACGUCUUGACGGUACCUAAUCAGAAAGCCACGGCUAACUACGUG
This 497-nucleotide ribosomal RNA is filed under the name uncultured bacterium. RNAcentral's name for it is "partial 16S ribosomal RNA". It matches the Rfam family "Bacterial small subunit ribosomal RNA", at positions 28 to 507 of the family's 1533-position model. The record is from RNAcentral.